GGCUUAACACAUGCAAGUCGAACGAUGAUCUCCAGCUUGCUGGGGGGAUUAGUGGCGAACGGGUGAGUAACACGUGAGUAACCUGCCCUUGACUCUGGGAUAAGCCUGGGAAACUGGGUCUAAUACCGGAUACGACCGUCCCGCGCAUGCGGUGGUGGUGGAAAGCUUUUGCGGUUUUGGAUGGACUCGCGGCCUAUCAGCUUGUUGGUGGGGUAAUGGCCUACCAAGGCGACGACGGGUAGCCGGCCUGAGAGGGUGACCGGCCACACUGGGACUGAGACACGGCCCAGACUCCUACGGGAGGCAGCAGUGGGGAAUAUUGCACAAUGGGCGAAAGCCUGAUGCAGCGACGCCGCGUGAGGGAUGACGGCCUUCGGGUUGUAAACCUCUUUCAGUAGGGAAGAAGCGAAAGUGACGGUACCUGCAGAAGAAGCGCCGGCUAACUACGUGCCAGCAGCCGCGGUAAUACGUAGGGCGCAAGCGUUAUCCGGAAUUAUUGGGCGUAAAGAGCUCGUAGGCGGUUUGUCGCGUCUGCUGUGAAAGACCGGGGCUCAACUCCGGUUCUGCAGUGGGUACGGGCAGACUAGAGUGAUGUAGGGGAGACUGGAAUUCCUGGUGUAGCGGUGAAAUGCGCAGAUAUCAGGAGGAACACCGAUGGCGAAGGCAGGUCUCUGGGCAUUAACUGACGCUGAGGAGCGAAAGCAUGGGGAGCGAACAGGAUUAGAUACCCUGGUAGUCCAUGCCGUAAACGUUGGGCACUAGGUGUGGGGGACAUUCCACGUUUUCCGCGCCGUAGCUAACGCAUUAAGUGCCCCGCCUGGAG
RNAcentral lists this ribosomal RNA (823 nucleotides) under Arthrobacter sp. RNAcentral describes it as "bacterial SSU rRNA". It matches the Rfam family "Bacterial small subunit ribosomal RNA", at positions 45 to 878 of the family's 1533-position model. Lineage: Bacteria; Bacillati; Actinomycetota; Actinomycetes; Micrococcales; Micrococcaceae. The record is from RNAcentral.